This 305-nucleotide long non-coding RNA is filed under the name Calidris pugnax (ruff). Its description in RNAcentral is "lncRNA (ENSCPUG00000015370.1)". The record is from RNAcentral. Lineage: Eukaryota; Metazoa; Chordata; Aves; Charadriiformes; Scolopacidae.
AGGAAAAAGUGCUCGGCUGAUGACAACUAGGUGUACUUAUAUCUGUUAUACCCAUUUACAGAAGCUGAUUUACACCAACAGAGGACCUGAUGCAUCUUUUACUUGUCAAAUGGUUGUAUUUUGGGGCUGUGCACAGGGUGUUUGUACAAGGGGGGAGAGAUGGAUACGACCAGAAAAGGAGCUCUGGGACGUGCAGCUGGGAGAGACUGUUCUGUUGGCUGCUGAGAAAAGGCCAAUGAGCCCUGAGUACCGUCAUCUUUAAGUGCAACAUCUUCAGAUUUCAUCACUUUUCCUGCAGAUUGAUG